CCCACCUCCAACACUGGGGAUUACAAUUCAACAUGAUAUUUGGGCAGGGACAUAUAUUCAAAUCAUAUGAGGGUCCAGCUCCAUUUUUUGCAUGCAGCUAUCCAGCUGUCCCAGCACCAUUUGUUGAAAAGACAAUUCUUUUCCCAUUGAAUGGUCUUGGCACACUUGUCAACUAUAAGUUGACCAUAGAUGUAUCUUCUAAGAUAUAUAAAUGUAAGGUUUUUUAAAGUGCUCAUGUAAAUCAAUAGGACUAAUUGACACAUAUUGCCUACAUUGAAUAAAAAAUAAUAAUGACAUUUCUUUCUGCCCUAUAUUUUUACUUUCUGCUUCCUUUACCAUAAUCCUUGUCUGAACUGCUUGUAGCAUUUAGAGCAUGCUUCUUUUCUUUUGUGUAAUAUCAGUACUGAGCAGUGAAACAUAAAAUUCACUUUGACUUGCAGCUCCGCUCUUAGCAAGCCCACACUGUGCUGAAUCUGGAUAUCAGUCCAAUGUGAUGACAUAAAGCUAAAUAUUUUCUCACAAAAGCAUGUGAACAUGGAACGCUUAGGAUUUUACUUCCUGCCAACAGCAGAAAUUUUGGACUUGUAGGAAUUAGUUUCCAGCUCUCCAAAAAUGCCUAUCCACUUUGUUUCUACAGGCUUGUUUUGACAGAUUAGUUCUUUGUCAAUCAAGCCCUUUGCAUCUAUAAAUUCAUCAUAUAGGCUAUUCAUGGUUUAAAUGCUCAAAAAAAAAAAAGUCUAAAACACAUUGGAUGCCAUCCUAAGCUGAACUUUUCUUUCUCACGGAAAAUGGUUUUGAGGCAUAUAGGUAAUUUGCACUUGUGAAAUUGAAACUGGAGUCCAAGAAAAACUCGGUUCUUGCGACACGACGAGGAAAGAUUAGGCACGGAGACACUUUGAAGGGUGAGAAGUUACGGAAUGUAUUGGGUGAAAAGGAAAAAGAUUCUCAACAAAGUGAGAGGGGCUCCUGAGUGAGAGGGGCUCCUGUUAACAGGCCCCCACGUCACAGACUAACUUGCCGGUUACCGCACAGGAACGGGAGGGGCCGACUCCUCCCCAUGCAAACAGCGGCAGCUUCCCGAGGCCCCACCGCUUCCUCCCAGCGCGUAGGCCAAUGGGAGAUUUCUCCAGGUGUGUAUUUGUUCAUUCGCGCACUGCUAUAAAGAAAUACCUGAGACUGGGUAAUUUAUAAAGAAAAGAAGUUAAUUGACUCAGUUCUGCAGGCAAUACAGGAAGCAAGAUGCUGUCAUCCGCUUGGCUUCAGUGGGGCCCUCAUCUUGUACGUGCAUCAGGCCCAAAAACUUAAUUUCACCUCUGACUGUGAUCAACAUAUUGAUGAAGACUGGCUAUGUGGAUGCUGGAAGAUGGGGAAAACUUGUUUCAAGCUGAACAUUAUCCUUGCCAUUAGCUUGCCUAAAGAGGCUGGAUUCAUCUGGGCAGUUUUCACUGCUGCAAGUUAGGCACCUUAUUUCGCAAGGUGCAAGUAGCGUGGAAGAGAAAAGCAAAGUUCAUAGACAGAACUUCCAAGAACAAAGAUCUCUGAAUUGGGAUGAAAUUCUAACUGCCAGAUUUGCUCCCUGUGUCUCUCUUGAUAUGUUUUCUACUUAUUAUGGAGUGACAGUUGUUGUGGAUGGGAGGAUUGAAAAUGGGAAGAACUAAUCAAAGAUAUAAUGUUGUGGAAAGGACUGAUAAGCUACACAAACCUGUGUCAUAUUAUUCUUUUUCUUGGAGCUCAGCAUGAGAGCAGGCAAUAACAGGAGAAUAACUUCAAAAAAAUCUUUAAAACCAGACUCAUUGUCUUCAUUCCUAGGACUUACAGAGACCAAAGCUCCUGAAGUACCAUCAUUCUACCAUGGAUACUGUGAAGUGGUACCACCGUAAAUCUAUGUCCUCUAACGUCAGUGGACUGUCAAGACUGUCCUGGUUUUAAAACUAAAAGUCCUGCACCCAGCAAUCCCCUCAGUCCCAAUCAAACUGAAACGAAACUUGAUGAAUGACUUACCAUCAGAAGAAACAGUAGUUUCCAUGGCCCUUUCCGUCUAGAUGGUUUGUACCACCCUUUAUCAAUGAACAAAGGUGUGUAGCUGUGACCACAGAACAAAGAGAAACGUAAGCCCUUCCCCCUUUUGUCUCUCAGGUGACUAAAUUGUAGAUUUAGCUGCUUAGCAACGAGGAUCUUUAUCUUCUUAGAGAAAUAAUAAUAGGCUCUCAAGAAUAUCUCGCUCUUAUCUGACCAUUUCUAUACUUAUUUCCAAAUUCCAUAUGAUUGGAAUUGGGUUGUCUCCUCACCUCCAGUCUAUGUCCCCUGACAGCAUAGGUUUGUAAUUUUGCUGGUGCCAUUGCAUUGGUCUAGACUGUCUAAUCACUUUUCCCACUGAACUGAAUUAUAGUAACUUUCUAGGGCAAGAUCAAAUUCCACUUCCAUUAUCAAAUCUUUCCUAAAUAAUCCAGAAAACAUAAACAUCCUAUAACUCUCUUAUAACUAUAACAUGCAACACAUUUUUGUGUGACAAAAUUUAUGUCCUUGCUAUUUUCUGUUUUAUAUGUGAGCUUUAGAUGCUGGAGAGGAUGUAGAGAAAUAGGAACACUUUUACACUGUUGGUGGGAGUGUAAAUUAGUUCAAUCAUUGUGGAAGACAGUGUGGUAACUCCUCAAGGACCUAGAAGCAGAAAUACCAUCUGACCCAGCAAUCCAACUACUGGGUAUAUACCCAAAGGAUUAUAAAUAA
This 2727-nucleotide long non-coding RNA is filed under the name Homo sapiens (human). Its description in RNAcentral is "HSALNT0377751". The record is from RNAcentral. Lineage: Eukaryota; Metazoa; Chordata; Mammalia; Primates; Hominidae.